Molecule: ribosomal RNA, 468 nt
Filed under: uncultured bacterium
Lineage: Bacteria
Description: partial 16S ribosomal RNA
Rfam family: Bacterial small subunit ribosomal RNA
Source: RNAcentral
GACGAACGCUGGCGGCGUGCUUAACACAUGCAAGUCGAACGGAAAGGCCCUGCUUUUGUUGGGUUCUCGAGUGGCGAACGCGUGUGUAUCACGUGUGUAACCUGCCCUUGUCUUUGGGAUAUCUUCAGGAAACUCGGGCUAUUAUCGGAUAGGAGCUCCUGCUGCACGGUGUUGGUUGGUAAGUUUCGGCGGUUGUGGCUCGACUCGCUGCUUAUCCGCUUGUUGGUGAGGUAGUGGCUUACCAAGGCUUUGAGGGGUAGCCGGCCUGAGAGGGUUACCGGCGACAAUGGGACUGAGAUACGGCGCAGAAUGCAACGGGAGGCAACAGUGGGAAAUAUUGCAGAAUGGGGGGAAGCGUGAGGCAGAAACGCCGGGAGCGGGAUGACGGCCUACGGGUUGAAAACAGAUUUCGAAUGUGACGAAGCGGGAGUGACGGUAAUGGGUAAAGAAGCACCGGCUAACUACGUG